RNAcentral lists this long non-coding RNA (222 nucleotides) under Lathyrus oleraceus (garden pea). RNAcentral describes it as "Pisum sativum (pea) long non-coding RNA (PSAT_LNC011954)". Lineage: Eukaryota; Viridiplantae; Streptophyta; Magnoliopsida; Fabales; Fabaceae. The record is from RNAcentral.
UCAAUGUAUCCCCGACAAGUCAUCUUUUAUUAACCGUUUAUCGGUAAUGAUCGGUCAUCAUUUUAUACCUAGUUUUUGGUAUUCCUGAUGUCCUUUCUUUUCAGUCGAUUUAUCCUUUAUUAACCUAGUAACCGGUUGUGGAUAAAUCUUCCGUGCGAGUAUGUUAUCUACGUUCUGACGGUAAUAGAUAAUAUAUCUCAUGCACUCUUCGGUCAAAGUCUU